RNAcentral lists this ribosomal RNA (373 nucleotides) under uncultured organism. Its description in RNAcentral is "bacterial SSU rRNA". It matches the Rfam family "Bacterial small subunit ribosomal RNA", at positions 77 to 449 of the family's 1533-position model. The record is from RNAcentral.
GAAGCGUUGAAUGAGUUUAGUGGCGGACGGGUGAGUAACGCGUGAGCAAUUUACCUUUGUGAGUGGAAUAACACCCGGAAACAGGUGCUAAUACCGCAUAACGUAUCGAUGUCGCAUGGCAAUGAUACCAAAGAGAAAUCGCACAAAGAUGAGCUCGCGUCCGAUUAGAUAGUUGGUGAGGUAACGGCCCACCAAGUCGACGAUCGGUAGCCGGACUGAGAGGUUGAACGGCCACAUUGGAACUGAGAAACGGUCCAGACUCCUACGGGAGGCAGCAGUGGGGAAUAUUGGGCAAUGGGCGAAAGCCUGACCCAGCGACGCCGCGUGAGGGAAGAAGGUCUUCGGAUUGUAAACCUUAGUUAGCAGGGAAGAA